RNAcentral lists this ribosomal RNA (490 nucleotides) under uncultured bacterium. RNAcentral's name for it is "partial 16S ribosomal RNA". It matches the Rfam family "Bacterial small subunit ribosomal RNA", at positions 30 to 507 of the family's 1533-position model. The record is from RNAcentral.
UGAACGCUGGCGGUAGGCCUAACACAUGCACGUCGAACGGCAGCACAGUAAGAGCUUGCUCUUACGGGUGGCGAGUGGCGGACGGGUGAGGAAUACAUCGGAAUCUACUUUUUCGUGGGGGAUAACGUAGGGAAACUUACGCUAAUACCGCAUACGACCUACGGGUGAAAGCAGGGGAUCUUCGGACCUUGCGCGAUUGAAUGAGCCGAUGUCGGAUUAGCUAGUUGGCGGGGUAAAGGCCCACCAAGGCGACGAUCCGUAGCUGGUCUGAGAGGAUGAUCAGCCACACUGGAACUGAGACACGGUCCAGACUCCUACGGGAGGCAGCAGUGGGGAAUAUUGGACAAUGGGCGAAAGCCUGAUCCAGCCAUACCGCGUGGGUGAAGAAGGCCUUCGGGUUGUAAAGCCCUUUUGUUGGGAAAGAAAAGCAGCAGGUUAAUACCCCGCUGUUCUGACGGUACCCAAAGAAUAAGCACCGGCUAACUUCGUG